RNAcentral lists this ribosomal RNA (1531 nucleotides) under Salmonella enterica subsp. enterica serovar Javiana. RNAcentral's name for it is "partial 23S ribosomal RNA". It matches the Rfam family "Bacterial large subunit ribosomal RNA", at positions 1 to 1566 of the family's 2925-position model. The record is from RNAcentral. Lineage: Bacteria; Pseudomonadati; Pseudomonadota; Gammaproteobacteria; Enterobacterales; Enterobacteriaceae.
GGGUUGUGAGGUUAAGCGACUAAGCGUACACGGUGGAUGCCCUGGCAGUCAGAGGCGAUGAAGGACGUGCUAAUCUGCGAUAAGCGCCGGUAAGGUGAUAUGAACCGUUAUAACCGGCGAUUUCCGAAUGGGGAAACCCAGUGUGACUCGUCACACUAUCAUUAACUGAAUCCAUAGGUUAAUGAGGCGAACCGGGGGAACUGAAACAUCUAAGUACCCCGAGGAAAAGAAAUCAACCGAGAUUCCCCCAGUAGCGGCGAGCGAACGGGGAGGAGCCCAGAGCCUGAAUCAGCAUGUGUGUUAGUGGAAGCGUCUGGAAAGGCGCGCGAUACAGGGUGACAGCCCCGUACACAAAAGCGCAUGUGCUGUGAGCUCGAUGAGUAGGGCGGGACACGUGGUAUCCUGUCUGAAUAUGGGGGGACCAUCCUCCAAGGCUAAAUACUCCUGACUGACCGAUAGUGAACCAGUACCGUGAGGGAAAGGCGAAAAGAACCCCGGCGAGGGGAGUGAAAAAGAACCUGAAACCGUGUACGUACAAGCAGUGGGAGCACCCUUUGGGGUGUGACUGCGUACCUUUUGUAUAAUGGGUCAGCGACUUAUAUUCUGUAGCAAGGUUAACCGAAUAGGGGAGCCGGAGGGAAACCGAGUCUUAAUUGGGCGUUAAGUUGCAGGGUAUAGACCCGAAACCCGGUGAUCUAGCCAUGGGCAGGUUGAAGGUUGGGUAACACUAACUGGAGGACCGAACCGACUAAUGUUGAAAAAUUAGCGGAUGACCUGUGGCUGGGGGUGAAAGGCCAAUCAAACCGGGAGAUAGCUGGUUCUCCCCGAAAGCUAUUUAGGUAGCGCCUCGUGAACUCAUCUCCGGGGGUAGAGCACUGUUUCGGCUAGGGGGCCAUCCCGGCUUACCAACCCGAUGCAAACUGCGAAUACCGGAGAAUGUUAUCACGGGAGACACACGGCGGGUGCUAACGUCCGUCGUGAAGAGGGAAACAACCCAGACCGCCAGCUAAGGUCCCAAAGUCAUGGUUAAGUGGGAAACGAUGUGGGAAGGCCCAGACAGCCAGGAUGUUGGCUUAGAAGCAGCCAUCAUUUAAAGAAAGCGUAAUAGCUCACUGGUCGAGUCGGCCUGCGCGGAAGAUGUAACGGGGCUAAACCAUGCACCGAAGCUGCGGCAGCGACACUCAGGUGUUGUUGGGUAGGGGAGCGUUCUGUAAGCCUGCGAAGGUGGCCUGUGAGGGUUGCUGGAGGUAUCAGAAGUGCGAAUGCUGACAUAAGUAACGAUAAAGCGGGUGAAAAGCCCGCUCGCCGGAAGACCAAGGGUUCCUGUCCAACGUUAAUCGGGGCAGGGUGAGUCGACCCCUAAGGCGAGGCCGAAAGGCGUAGUCGAUGGGAAACGGGUUAAUAUUCCCGUACUUGGUGUUACUGCGAAGGGGGGACGGAGAAGGCUAUGUUGGCCGGGCGACGGUUGUCCCGGUUUAAGCGUGUAGGCUGGUUUUCCAGGCAAAUCCGGAAAAUCAAGGCUGAGGCGUGA